UAGUUUUACAAUAUUCCGGGAUUUAUAAAAAUAUUUCGGUAAUUUUUGGAUGAAAUUUUACAGCAUGUUAUCUCCGUAAAUUAAUUAAAAACAGAGUAAGCUUAUAAUUUAGAUAAUAGUUUCAUUUUAUGCCACGUAUCCGUGUUGUUUCCCUUGUGUUAGCCACGUAUAGUUUCUUUUGCCCCUUUCUGUUAAUCUCUCAACCUCACCGCCCUCUAAUUCUUUCACUCACAAUUCUCUCCUGCCUACAACUCUUGCACGGGCAUCCACCUCCGUUGUUGCGUGCGCCGCUGCCAGGUUCCUCCGGAAUCAACUACCUCGCUGGAAUCACUUGUUGCCGCUGCCAAGCUUUCACCAUCGCUGCUCCAUUUCUUCUCAUGCUCGAAGCCAGUCGCGCUCCUUCAAUUCUUCAGCCAAUUAACUCUGUUUUCGGGCCAGCAAUCCACCCUUUCUUUGAUUAUUCUGAUUGGUUAACUCCGUCGGCAUCGACAACUGAAGUACCGUGUCACUCUUGGAGAAUCAACCGAGACUUGUCUAUCAAGGACAUAUCAAGGACAUUCAGAAGUUUUUAAAUAGCUUUGCGAAUUGAAUGAGGAAUAGUUCCUUAAAACGAAGCUGUGCUGUGAGAUAGUUUGGUAGAAUUAAAUCGGUAUGAAAAUCAGCAGAACUGAGAUAGUGUUAAAGAUGAUUCAUCUGUCUAGGCUGAGCGUAAGAGUAAUGCUAGGCAAGGAUUCCAAGUGAUAAGUUGUGACUGAAUGAUCAGGUAAAGUAUUCAGGAAGAUGUCUGCGAGAUUAGUGGUAAUUAGAGUUGGCUUAAUUUUGCUUCAAAUGUAAAAUAAAUUUAUUAAAUAUUAUCAGCUACUCUGAUAAUUUAGAUUGGGAUGUAAUAAGAUUUAUUAGUUUUGAUUCUGAUUUCAAUACUAUAGCCUGUUUGCGAUCCUGUUUAAAGGGGGUUAAACUUUGUUCUUUUAAAUCUUUUAUUAAAGCUUUCAGGUUUUAAAUUCUUUGAUUUAUAUUAGCUUUUCAAAAAUACAGGUUUUCAAAACUGUAAAUCAUUUUUUUUAUAUCCAGGUUUUGAAAUACUUGUUUUUACUUUCUCUCAAAGAUACAAGUUUUAAAUUGUUUUACUUUUAGUGGCUUAAAAAUACAGGUUUUAAAUUAUUUUUAUUUACACGUGGCACCAAAUCCAGACCCCCGGAUUUGAGGGCUGUCACAGUUGGUAUCAGAGCUGCAGGUUAUAAGUUAUUGAAAUCAGAAUAUAGGUGGUAAUAUCAGGUUUAAUAAAAAGGUGCGUUAAGUGUAACCUCACAUAGAGGUAGUCUACAGCUAUUUGGAAUAGUCUGUGUCAAUAAAACCAAGAUUCACAUAUAGUAUUGACCUUGAGUAUAUCAUAGUGUGUAUAAUAGGUUUCUUGUUCCAGACCUAGCAAGUUUAUAUCUCAAGGAAGAAAGAACAGGCCUCCACCAGUUUUUAUUAUAUUGAGUAUUUAGUACUAAUACUAGCAACCAAAUAGAUUCCCUUGUUGAGUCUAGAACGUCCCUAAUAAUUUCAUAUUCCUCGUCACCAAGAUAGAGAUAAAUUGGAAGAGUAACUUUAUGUGUUUUUAUUAUGGAUCAAAAUUUCUUAACACCAGUUUAAUUGAGUUAGAAACUCAUAGUAGGUAGAUAAGAUUUCUUUUGGUUGAUUUAGAUUCAAAACCAUUUGAAGGAUGAAAGAUACACUUAUUAGGUGAACUUUAUAAUGGGAACCAAUUGAGGCUGGACUAGUAUAGAUUCUCACAUAGUCUAGAGUAAUCCUUGUAGUGUCUGCCAAUCUUUGAAUAGUAAUUGGGGAGUUAUCUUUGAUUCUUGUUAAAGAUAUAUAGAAUUGGUGAAAGAAUAUAGGUGUUAACAGGUCCGAAUUUAAAGCUUUGUAUAUAGUGAAGUAGUGAGCAUUAGAGCUAAUAAAAGAAUAUGAAACUUGUAGGGUCAAGUAAGAAGUUCCGUAUAUAGUUAAAUAAUGAACGUUAAAGUUAUUUAGAGCUCGUGUAGAUUAGUGGAUAUAGUACUUGUGAGUAAGUUAAGACGUCAACACUCAGUGGUGAUGAUUAUACGAAACUCGAUAAUAUUUCGGACUAUGCGAAGCUGAGCAGGACUUCUGACGAUCAUGGAUAUUUAUAAUGAGAUCUUCACAGACCAUUGUGAGUCAACGAUAAUUUACGUUAUUGAGCAUCAUCGACCGCUGAAAAAUAGAAGAAGAUUAGAAUCGAAUAAAGGUCCAUCAGAGCAGCAUAUCUUGAAAAAUCUUGGCAAUACCUUCCUCUUUUAUUGAUUAUAUUGAUUACUUUCUUCAUCAAUGAAUUGUUUUGACAUCUUUUUCCUAGAGACAUUUAAUAAAUACUAUAUUUCUCUCUCCUGAGUUAUAAAAUGAUGCUUGUAUCUAUUUCAUCAUUUCUAACUAAUCUUUUCAUCAAAACUAGCACCUUUGGAACUUAUUCAAUUUUUUAACCCAAGGUGCGCAUCAAAGAUUCAUUCAUCAGAAAGUCAAUCAUUUUUGGUUGAUUUUGAAUUUCCAUCAUAUUAUUCAACUCUAACUGAGAUGAACAACCCUACCUAUAGGGGACACAAGGAUUACCGGUCUGUGUGAUAGGAGUUGGAUGGGACGCCAUCACUUGUGUGUGUUGUACAUUACAAGAAGGUUAACUACCUUUAGUAGUGUCUUAAUUUAGACACGCAACACCGAGUUCUUUAGAUCAUAUUGAUCUCUCAGUUAUUCUUUUGUUUCCAAUCACAUAAUAUUUGUUCCAAUAGAUCUAAUCUUUCAUAUUCUUGUAAUUUCUAAAAGGUAUGCCAACUGAGUUGCCAAGUAAAAUUAAGCCUUUGUAGUACGAAGCAACAUAAGUAAAAAGGAUGAUGAUGCGGGUAUACGGAAGCGAUCAAGUAAAAUUUUAUAUCACAAAGAAAGGAGUAUUAUGAAUUAAAGAGAUCAUACGCUCUAGUUUUCUUUUCGCUGAUUCCGAGGACGGAAUCCGUUUAAGGGGGGUAGAUUGUGACGACCUGGAUUUUCAGAAAUUGUUUUAUUAUUUUCAUUCAAAAUUUUCGAGAAAAAAAUGAGAAACAAAAUUUAAUAUUUUAUUCUAGCUUGAUAAUUUCCAAAAAUAUUUGUUUAAAGUAUUUCCUUGUCAUUUGGGCAUGAGAAAAUAUCAAUUGAUUGUGCAAUUAUUUGUUACGAGAUUUAAUUGAUUUAUUUGUGUACGAUUAUAUCUGUGUGUCCAUUUUUCUGCUUUUGAUAUUAUUAUAUUAUUUUAUUAAAAUUUCUUAUCCUCUUAAAUGGAUAUUUAUUUUUGUAGAAAUACAAAUAUAAUUUGAAAAUUUAUAUUAAUUGCUCAAUAGUGAUCAUAAAUAUUUUUAGGAACUUUUAAAAUAUUAAAAAUCUUAUUUCUAUAACGAUAUGAUUUUUAAUUAGUUCCUGAACGUAGCUAACUUCUAAAUUUCUUAUAAAUUUUGAAAGUACUCGACAAAUCCCGAAACUUUUAUUUUAUUAGUUUUACAAUAUUCCGGGAUUUAUAAAAAUAUUUCGGUAAUUUUUGGAUGAAAUUUUACAGCAUGUUAUCUCCGUAAAUUAAUUAAAAACAGAGUAAGCUUAUAAUUUAGAUAAUAGUUUCAUUUUAUGCCACGUAUCCGUGUUGUUUCCCUUGUGUUAGCCACGUAUAGUUUCUUUUGCCCCUUUCUGUUAAUCUCUCAACCUCACCGCCCUCUAAUUCUUUCACUCACAAUUCUCUCCUGCCUACAACUCUUGCACGGGCAUCCACCUCCGUUGUUGCGUGCGCCGCUGCCAGGUUCCUCCGGAAUCAACUACCUCGCUGGAAUCACUUGUUGCCGCUGCCAAGCUUUCACCAUCGCUGCUCCAUUUCUUCUCAUGCUCGAAGCCAGUCGCGCUCCUUCAAUUCUUCAGCCAAUUAACUCUGUUUUCGGGCCAGCAAUCCACCCUUUCUUUGAUUAUUCUGAUUGGUUAACUCCGUCGGCAUCGACAACUGAAGUACCGUGUCACUCUUGGAGAAUCAACCGAGACUUGUCUAUCAAGGACAUAUCAAGGACAUUCAGAAGUUUUUAAAUAGCUUUGCGAAUUGAAUGAGGAAUAGUUCCUUAAAACGAAGCUGUGCUGUGAGAUAGUUUGGUAGAAUUAAAUCGGUAUGAAAAUCAGCAGAACUGAGAUAGUGUUAAAGAUGAUUCAUCUGUCUAGGCUGAGCGUAAGAGUAAUGCUAGGCAAGGAUUCCAAGUGAUAAGUUGUGACUGAAUGAUCAGGUAAAGUAUUCAGGAAGAUGUCUGCGAGAUUAGUGGUAAUUAGAGUUGGCUUAAUUUUGCUUCAAAUGUAAAAUAAAUUUAUUAAAUAUUAUCAGCUACUCUGAUAAUUUAGAUUGGGAUGUAAUAAGAUUUAUUAGUUUUGAUUCUGAUUUCAAUACUAUAGCCUGUUUGCGAUCCUGUUUAAAGGGGGUUAAACUUUGUUCUUUUAAAUCUUUUAUUAAAGCUUUCAGGUUUUAAA
This is a long non-coding RNA of Daucus carota subsp. sativus, 4521 nucleotides long. RefSeq lists it as uncharacterized. The transcript has 5 exons. The record is from RefSeq and is a predicted model, not a curated record. Lineage: Eukaryota; Viridiplantae; Streptophyta; Magnoliopsida; Apiales; Apiaceae.